CCUGGCUCAGAACGAACGCUGGCGGCAGGCUUAACACAUGCAAGUCGAGCGCCCCGCAAGGGGAGCGGCAGACGGGUGAGUAACGCGUGGGAAUCUACCCUUGACUACGGAAUAACGCAGGGAAACUUGUGCUAAUACCGUAUGUGUCCUUCGGGAGAAAGAUUUAUCGGUCAAGGAUGAGCCCGCGUUGGAUUAGCUAGUUGGUGGGGUAAAGGCCUACCAAGGCGACGAUCCAUAGCUGGUCUGAGAGGAUGAUCAGCCACAUUGGGACUGAGACACGGCCCAAACUCCUACGGGAGGCAGCAGUGGGGAAUAUUGGACAAUGGGCGCAAGCCUGAUCCAGCCAUGCCGCGUGAGUGAUGAAGGCCCUAGGGUUGUAAAGCUCU
This 386-nucleotide ribosomal RNA is filed under the name Rhizobium leguminosarum. RNAcentral describes it as "bacterial SSU rRNA". It matches the Rfam family "Bacterial small subunit ribosomal RNA", at positions 18 to 434 of the family's 1533-position model. Lineage: Bacteria; Pseudomonadati; Pseudomonadota; Alphaproteobacteria; Hyphomicrobiales; Rhizobiaceae. The record is from RNAcentral.